ACCGAAUAGAUACCCAGGUAGUCCACGCCCUAAACGAUGCGAACUGGAUGUUGGGUACAUUACGGUACUCAGUGUCGAAAGCUAUCGCGUUAAGUUCGCCGCCUGGGGAGUACGGUCGCAAGACUGAAACUCAAAGGAAUUGACGGGGGCCCGCACAAGCGGUGGAGUAUGUGGUUUAAAUUCGAUGCAACGCGAAGAACCUUACCUGGCCUUGACAUCUGUCGAAUCCUGCAGAGAUGCGGGAGUGCCGCAAGGAACGACAAGACAGGUGCUGCAUGGCUGUCGUCAGCUCGUGUCGUGAGAUGUUGGGUUUAAGUCCCGCAACGAGCGCAACCCUUGUCCCUAGUUGCCAGCACGUAAUGGUGGGAACUCUAGGGAGACUGCCGGUGACAAACCGGAGGAA
This 403-nucleotide ribosomal RNA is filed under the name uncultured bacterium. RNAcentral's name for it is "bacterial SSU rRNA". It matches the Rfam family "Bacterial small subunit ribosomal RNA", at positions 772 to 1171 of the family's 1533-position model. The record is from RNAcentral.